UGGGGAAUAUUGGACAAUGGGCGCAAGCCUGAUCCAGCAAUGCCGCGUGUGUGAAGAAGGCCUGCGGGUUGUAAAGCACUUUCGGUGGGGAGGAAGGCCUGAUGGUUAAUAGUCAUCAGGAUUGACGUUACCCACAGAAGAAGCACCGGCUAACUCUGUGCCAGCAGCCGCGGUAAUACAGAGGGUGCGAGCGUUAAUCGGAAUUACUGGGCGUAAAGGGUGCGUAGGUGGUCAAUUAAGUUAGGUGUGAAAUCCCUGGGCUUAACCUAGGAAUGGCAUUUAAGACUGAUUGGCUAGAGUUUGGGAGAGGGAAGUGGAAUUUCCGGUGUAGCGGUGAAAUGCGUAGAUAUCGGAAGGAACACCAGUGGCGAAGGCGACUUCCUGGCCCGAUACUGACACUGAGGCACGAAAGCGUGGGGAGCGAACAGGAUUAGAUACCCAAGUAGUCCCUGAGCGGGCUGGCAAGGCGCAU
This 472-nucleotide ribosomal RNA is filed under the name uncultured bacterium. RNAcentral's name for it is "bacterial SSU rRNA". It matches the Rfam family "Bacterial small subunit ribosomal RNA", at positions 355 to 825 of the family's 1533-position model. The record is from RNAcentral.